CAACGUUUGACAUCCCUAUCGCGGAUCGUGGAGACACUUUCCUUCAGUUCGGCUGGAUAGGUGACAGGUGCUGCAUGGCUGUCGUCAGCUCGUGUCGUGAGAUGUUGGGUUAAGUCCCGCAACGAGCGCAACCCUCGCCUUUAGUUGCCAUCAUUUAGUUGGGUACUCUAAAGGAACCGCCGGUGAUAAGCCGGAGGAAGGUGGGGAUGACGUCAAGUCCUCAUGGCCCUUACGCGUUGGGCUACACACGUGCUACAAUGGCGACUACAGUGGGCAGCCACUCCGCGAGGAGGAGCUAAUCUCCAAAAGUCGUCUCAGUUCGGAUCGUUCUCUGCAACUCGAGAGCGUGAAGGCGGAAUCGCUAGUAAUCGCGGAUAACAUGCCGNGGNGAAUCCGUUCCCAGGCCUUGNNACCCGCCGUCAACCAUGGGAGUUGGAUUCACUCNAGGCGUUGAGCUAACCGAANGGAGGCAGGCGACCACAGGGGGUUAGCGACUGGGGNG
RNAcentral lists this ribosomal RNA (502 nucleotides) under uncultured bacterium. RNAcentral's name for it is "bacterial SSU rRNA". It matches the Rfam family "Bacterial small subunit ribosomal RNA", at positions 975 to 1482 of the family's 1533-position model. The record is from RNAcentral.